GAUCACUCUUUAAUAGGAUGGACUUUGAGGACCUGGGAUUGGUAGAUUGGGAACACCACCUUCCCCCACCAGCUGCCAAGGCUGUGGUGGAGAGCCUCCCCAGAACAGUCAUCCGUAGCUCCAAGGCUGAGCUCAAGUGUCCCGUGUGUCUUUUGGAAUUUGAGGAGGAGGAGACUGUCAUUGAGAUGCCCUGCCAUCAUCUCUUCCAUUCCAACUGCAUUCUGCCCUGGUUAAGUAAGACAAAUUCCUGCCCUCUGUGCCGCCAUGAGCUGCCCACCGAUGACGACAGUUAUGAAGAGCACAAGAAAGACAAGGCUCGGAGGCAGCAGCAGCAGCACCGCCUGGAGAACCUCCAUGGAGCCAUGUACACGUGAGGCAGCAGCUAGGGCUGAGAGCUCAGCCUCUGUGAUAUCUUCCCUUUGCACUUUGAAUCUUCAUUAAAGGUUUCUUUAACCACCCUGCAGCUGCACUGCUCACCAGCUGAAGGGGCUUCGUCCGAAUCCUCCAACCUGCUGCUAGCCAGAAAGAUGUCAAAGGUGUCAAAAGGCAGAAGGUGCCGGGCUGCAUUUCCCUCUCUGCCAGUCUCUAGACUCUGGGUGGUGGAGCCCUGGGAGCAACAAGGGCUUGGGUCUGAGUGUUCUUUUAGAAGUCAAACUGUGUCAGAUCCUGGCACUUUGUAGCUAUUUAAAACUGAUAAAUUAACUUGCACCACCCCCUUCCGGAAAUCUCUAGUUAACCUUGGAACUUUAGUUAACAUUGGAAUCCUGGGAGUGUUCUUCAUUUCCACAGAGAAAACUUGUAACAUUGUCAAAGUUGCUCUCUGUAUCCUGCCCCUGUAGGCCCCUUAUCAAGGAAUCAAAGUUCAAACCAGACUGAGUAGGGGAAAGAAGUUCUUUAGCUGUUUAGACUCUGAAAGGGGGACAAGGCCUUGUGGAGGUUUUGAAAGUGGGUUUCACUAUGUGACCUUGGCUGGCUUGGAGCCCACUGUAUAGACCAGGCUGGCCUUGAACUUAGAUUCUUCUGCCUCUACCUUCCCAGUACUGGGAUUGCUGGUAUGUACCAGCACUGUGCUCAGACCCUUAUGAUGUAUUUGAAUGGCAUCUGUCACUUUGAGUUCCUGGCAACUCUCAAGAAUCUUUUCUGGAGGAAAGGACUUCUUUCCACCCCUCCCUACUGGAUGGGACCCUCCCUGAUUCUCCAGAACAGACUGCAAACAUGCAAAUUAGAAUUCUUUUAAUAGAUAUAAAAAAGUACUAAAAUACUUGUGUGGUUCUGCUGUGUUAUUUGCCCUAAAGGAAGUGAGGGGCAGAGUGAAGAACCCAAGUGCAGCUGGGUGGGCCUUUCCUUAGGCUAAGGCAUGCUCCUCCCAUCAUCCAGACUUGUGAGCCCCUGCUGCCCGAGCCCCCAAUUCCCUGCAGCAGGAAGCCCCAGUGGUCUGGCUCUGGCACUGGGAGUAGAAGGCACCUGUAGGGCUGGC
Molecule: long non-coding RNA, 1477 nt
Filed under: Rattus norvegicus (Norway rat)
Lineage: Eukaryota; Metazoa; Chordata; Mammalia; Rodentia; Muridae
Description: long non-coding RNA NONRATT021491
Source: RNAcentral